AUGAACGCUGGCGGCGUGCCUAAUACAUGCCAGUCGAGCGAACAGAUCAGGAGCUUGCUCCUUUGACGUUAGCGGCGGACGGGUGAGUAACACGUGGGUAACCUACCUAUAAGACUGGGAUAACUUCGGGAAACCGGAGCUAAUACCGGAUAACAUUUGGAACCGCAUGGUUCUAAAGUGAAAGAUGGUUUUGCUAUCACUUAUAGAUGGACCCGCGCCGUAUUAGCUAGUUGGUAAGGUAACGGCUUACCAAGGCAACGAUACGUAGCCGACCUGAGAGGGUGAUCGGCCACACUGGAACUGAGACGCGGUCCAGACUCCUACGGGAGGCAGCAGUAGGGAAUCUUCCGCAAUGGGCGAAAGCCUGACGGAGCAACGCCGCGUGAGUGAUGAAGGGUUUCGGCUCGUAAAACUCUGUUAUUAGGGAAGAACAAAUGUGUAAGUAACUGUGCACGUCUUGACGGUACCUAAUCAGAAAGCCACGGCUAACUACGUG
RNAcentral lists this ribosomal RNA (496 nucleotides) under uncultured bacterium. RNAcentral's name for it is "partial 16S ribosomal RNA". It matches the Rfam family "Bacterial small subunit ribosomal RNA", at positions 29 to 507 of the family's 1533-position model. The record is from RNAcentral.